GGCGAACGCUGGCGGCGUGCUUAAUACAUGCAAGUCGAACGGAAAGGCCCUGCUUUUGCGGGGUGCUCGAGUGGCGAACGGGUGAGUAACACGUGAGUAACCUGCCCUUGACUUUGGGAUAACUUCAGGAAACUGGGGCUAAUACCGGAUAGGAGCUCCUGCUGCAUGGUGGGGGUUGGAAAGUUUCGGCGGUUGGGGAUGGACUCGCGGCUUAUCAGCUUGUUGGUGGGGUAGUGGCUUACCAAGGCUUUGACGGGUAGCCGGCCUGAGAGGGUGACCGGCCACAUUGGGACUGAGAUACGGCCCAGACUCCUACGGGAGGCAGCAGUGGGGAAUAUUGCACAAUGGGCGGAAGCCUGAUGCAGCAACGCCGCGUGCGGGAUGACGGCCUUCGGGUUGUAAACCGCUUUCGCCUGUGACGAAGCGUGAGUGACGGUAAUGGGUAAAGAAGCACCGGCUAACUACGUG
This 468-nucleotide ribosomal RNA is filed under the name uncultured bacterium. RNAcentral describes it as "partial 16S ribosomal RNA". It matches the Rfam family "Bacterial small subunit ribosomal RNA", at positions 28 to 507 of the family's 1533-position model. The record is from RNAcentral.